Molecule: long non-coding RNA, 890 nt
Filed under: Chloebia gouldiae (Gouldian finch)
Lineage: Eukaryota; Metazoa; Chordata; Aves; Passeriformes; Passeridae
Description: Erythrura gouldiae (Gouldian finch) lncRNA (ENSEGOG00005018071.1)
Source: RNAcentral
CGGCACCGGCACCGGCACCGGGCGGGAUGGCCCGGGGCGCGCUCCGCCUGCUCUGCUGCGCCGCUGCCCUGCUCGCUGCCGCAGGGCCAGCACCUGCCAGCGCAGUGUCUCAGAACAGCUCAGGGACAGCCGUGUCACCGUCUCCAUCCCGUUCAGCCAGAGCCAGCAGCCAGGGGACUCAGGGUGUGAGUCUCUCUGGCCGUGACCUGGGAGCACUCAGUGCAUCUCUAUCGACAGCAGCAAUUCCAUCCAAUUCCUCCAGUACCGCCCCGGGACCAACAACACCUCCAUCACCUUCACCCAGCACUACCACAGCAACAACUUCAUCCAGUACCUCGGGAUCAACACCUCCAUCACCUUCAUCCAACACCACCACCACAACUCCAUCCAGUACCUCGGGAUCAACACCUCCAUCACCUUCACCCAGCACCACCACCACAACUCCAUCCAGUACCUCGGGAUCAACACGUCCAUCUUCUCCAUCCAGCACCACCACAGCUCCAUCUUCAGCCGGGACACCGGGAUCGACACCUUUGACACCCUCAUCCAAUGCCACCACGGCACCAACUCCAUCCCACACGAGUGUGUCCAGAUCCACAGAGCAUCCAUCCAACUCCACCACACCGCCAGCCCCAUCCUCACCCAGGCCCUCUGUUCCUGCUUCUCCCAGCUCCCCCACGCCCACCGUGAGCCCCAACAGCACCAGCACUGUCACCACCAGCUCCAGAGCGACAGCAGCCCCUGGCAGCACAGCUGGGAGCUCCGAGCAGCACCCCGCAGAGCUGAGCCCCGCUGUGGUCGCCCUCAUCUCCCUCGCCGUCUGCCUGCUGGUGGCGGGGGUGGCCGUGCUGCUGGUGCGGCUGUCCCGGCGCGGGACCCCCCGCUUCCAA